Molecule: ribosomal RNA, 401 nt
Filed under: uncultured fungus
Lineage: Eukaryota; Fungi
Description: SSU rRNA
Rfam family: Eukaryotic small subunit ribosomal RNA
Source: RNAcentral
GCAAGUCUGGUGCCAGCAGCCGCGGUAAUUCCAGCUCCAGUAGCGUAUAUUAAAGUUGUUGAGGUUAAAAAGCUCGUAGUUGAACCUUGGGCCUAGCCGGCCGGUCCGCCUCACCGCGUGCACUGGCUCGGCUGGGUCUUUCCUUCUGGAGAACCGCAUGCCCUUCACUGGGUGUGCUGGGGAACCAGGACUUUUACUCUGAAUAAAUUAGAUCGCUUAAAGAAGGCCUAUGCUCGAAUACAUUAGCAUGGAAUAAUAGAAUAGGACGCGUGGUUCUAUUUUGUUGGUUUCUAGGACCACCGUAAUGAUUAAUAGGGAUAGUCGGGGGCGUCAGUAUUCAAUUGUCAGAGGUGAAAUUCUUGGAUUUAUCGAAGACUAACUACUGCGAAAGCAUUUGCCAA